AUGGCUCUAGUUGGUCAGGCUGCCAUGGUUGCGCAGUUUGCAGGAGUGGACGCAUACGGGAUCAUCAAGAUGAUCGCCGAUGCGGCGCAGACGGUCCGGAGGAACAGAGCCACCUGCCUGCAGCUCGCGCGCCGCGCCAAGAUGAUCGGAGACCUGCUGCACCAGCUCCACGCCGCGCAGCUCAUGCAGCAGCCGGAGACGAGGAACCCGAUGGAGCAGCUCGAGGAGACGCUCCGGCGCGCGCUGCUGCUCGUCAGGUCCUGCCAGGGCCGCAGAUACCUCUACCGGUGCUUCUUGGGGGCGCGCCACGCCGACGAGCUCCGCGAGGUGCAGGGUGAGAUCACCUUCUACCUCCAGCUUUUCCCUCUCGUCAGCCACGUCGACACCACCCUCACCUGGGUCAGACUCCUCAACAAAGGUGCUGCUCCUGAAGCUCCUUCAUGCAAAGAGGCACCUGUGGUAAGACCAUAUUUUGUGCCGGAUGAAUGGUGUUUGCUAGUUUCUCAUUCAGGAAGUAUACUUUGGCACUCUCUUCUUGUAAUAUCUACUAACCACCCGUCGGGAAAAAUUUAUUCUGGCAUGUAUCUGCAGGAGUUCAAAUUGUUGUGCAACUGA
This 615-nucleotide ribosomal RNA is filed under the name Triticum aestivum (bread wheat). RNAcentral describes it as "partial small subunit ribosomal RNA". The record is from RNAcentral. Lineage: Eukaryota; Viridiplantae; Streptophyta; Magnoliopsida; Poales; Poaceae.